GACGAACGCUGGCGGCGUGCCUAACACAUGCAAGUCGAACGGAACUGUUUUGAAAGAUUUCUUCGGAAUGAAUUUGAUUUAGUUUAGUGGCGGACGGGUGAGUAACGCGUGAGUAACCUGCCUUCAAGAGGGGAAUAACAUUCUGAAAAGAAUGCUAAUACAGCAUGACAUAUCGGAACCACAUGGUUUUGAUGUCAAAGAUUUUAUCGCUUGAAGAUGGACUCGCGUCAGAUUAUUUAGUUGGUGAGGUAACGGCUCACCAAGACCGCGAUCGGUAGCCGGACUGAGAGGUUGAACGGCCACAUUGGGACUGAGACACGGCCCAGACUCCUACGGGAGGCAGCAGUGGGGGAUAUUGCGCAAUGGGGGCAACUCUGACGCAGCAACGCCGCGUGAAGGAUGAAGGUUUUCGGAUUGUAAACUUCUUUUAUUAAGGACGAAAAAUGACGGUACUUAAUGAAUAAGCUCCGGCUAACUACGUG
RNAcentral lists this ribosomal RNA (482 nucleotides) under uncultured bacterium. RNAcentral describes it as "partial 16S ribosomal RNA". It matches the Rfam family "Bacterial small subunit ribosomal RNA", at positions 28 to 507 of the family's 1533-position model. The record is from RNAcentral.